AACGCACCUUGCGCUCCUUGGUAUUCCGAGGAGCAUGCCUGUUUGAGUGUCAUUAAAUUCUCAACUAUACAAGUUUCAAAAAACUUGUAUAGCUUGGAUCUUGGGAUUUGCGGGCUUUCACAAGUCGGCUGUCCUUAAAUGCAUUAGCAGAGCUUUUGCCGCUAACCUCUGGUGUGAUAAUUAUCUACGCCAUCGUGUUGCGACAUACUGAGGCUUAGCUUCUAAUCGUCUGCAAGGACAAUUUUUGACAAUCUGACCUCAAAUCAGGUAGGAUUACCCGCUGAACUUAA
RNAcentral lists this unclassified non-coding RNA (290 nucleotides) under uncultured Agaricales. RNAcentral describes it as "sequence contains 5.8S rRNA gene, ITS2, 28S rRNA gene". The stretch from base 1 to 52 matches the Rfam family "5.8S ribosomal RNA", at positions 103 to 154 of the family's 154-position model. The record is from RNAcentral. Lineage: Eukaryota; Fungi; Basidiomycota; Agaricomycetes; Agaricales.